CCUACGGGAGGCAGCAGUGAGGAAUAUUGGUCAAUGGCCGGAAGGCUGAACCAGCCAAGCCGCGUGAGUGAUGAAGGCGCAGAGCUUCGCAGACCUCUUUUGCCGGGGGACAAAUGGCCGGACUCGUCCGUUCCUGAGUUUACCCUGAGAAAAAGCAUCGGCUAACUCCGUUCCAUCCGCCGCGGUAAUACGGAGGAUGCGUGCGUUAUCCGGAUUCAUUGGGUUUAAGGGGUGCGCAGGCGGGCCUUUAAGCCGGCGGUGAAAUCGCGGGGCUCAACCCCGCCGAGCAGUCGGAACUGGGGGCCUUGAGUGCGGAGGAGGAAUGCGGAAUGCGAGGUGUAGCGGUGAAAUGCAUGGAUAUAGCGCAGAA
This 370-nucleotide ribosomal RNA is filed under the name uncultured bacterium. RNAcentral describes it as "partial 16S ribosomal RNA". It matches the Rfam family "Bacterial small subunit ribosomal RNA", at positions 338 to 706 of the family's 1533-position model. The record is from RNAcentral.